RNAcentral lists this ribosomal RNA (434 nucleotides) under Ips plastographus. Its description in RNAcentral is "partial 16S ribosomal RNA". Lineage: Eukaryota; Metazoa; Arthropoda; Insecta; Coleoptera; Curculionidae. The record is from RNAcentral.
CUUUUUCUUCGAUUAGAACUCUAAGAAAAAAUUACGCUGUUAUCCCUAAGGUAAUUUUUCUUUUAAUCUUAAAAAAAGGAUCAAAUUAAUCACUUAUCUAUGAAUUCCCAAUAAAAAAAAGUUAAUUAAAUUUUUCAAUCACCCCAAUUAAAUACUUCUUAAAAAAAUUUUCUUUAUAAAUAAAAAUAACUAUCAUAAAAUUACAAUAAUUAAUUUAUUUAUUCUUCUAUACUCUAACUUUUAAAAUAAAAAAUAUUAAACUCUAUAGGGUCUUCUCGUCUUUUAUAAAAAUUUAAGCUUUUUAACUUAAAAAUAAAAUUCAAAAUAUUUAAAUUGAGACAGUUAUUUUUUCAUCAAACCUUUCAUUCCAGCUUUCAAUUAAAAAACUAAUGAUUAUGCUACCUUAGCACAGUCAAAAUACUGCGGCCGUUAAA